Molecule: transfer RNA, 76 nt
Filed under: Alphaproteobacteria bacterium
Lineage: Bacteria; Pseudomonadati; Pseudomonadota; Alphaproteobacteria
Description: tRNA-Ala
Rfam family: tRNA
About the family: Transfer RNA (tRNA) molecules are approximately 80 nucleotides in length.
Source: RNAcentral
GGGGCUGUAGCUCAGCUGGGAGAGCGCUACAAUGGCAUUGUAGAGGUCGUGAGUUCGAUCCUCAUCAGCUCCACCA